UUUAGAUCGUGCAAUAUGCCACGAUGCGGCGCAGCGUUCGAGACGUUUCAUUAAAAGUCGAUGUUACGACAUCGAGGUGCUCGAUCGCUCGCGCAGAUCUAGGCAUGCGACCUAGACCCGACCUUUCCCAAGUUCCUGACGGAAAUAAGGCUAAUACAGCUACCGACACUUAGCUUCGGUAAUCGAACCAAGAAAUAAACGACGUUCCACAGCCGCGAUCACGGAGCCACUCGAAUUACGAGAACGGUUCAAUCGAUUUCACGGUGAACUUUCUAAGAAUAUUUCCACGCCUUUGCUGGAGAACUUCCGGUAACGAAACGUUUUCGUACCGUCACUGCGUUCGAUCAAUCGAAGAAUAAACGCUGCUUUCGAUAUUUAAAUAAUAAAACAAAUUUAAUUUAAUAGUAUGAUAGAAAUUAAAAAUAUGAUAGAUUAGUCAUAAUCCAUGCAAUUUCCUUUUAAUUAUUAAACACUAUAAUUAGAAGAAAAAUUUAAUAAUGAAGAAUAUUUAUUGCUACGAUAUUUCAGAUUAUUAAGAUAAUUCUAAAAAAAGAUCAAUAAGAAAAUGUCAGAACUAAAGAGCAAAUGCUUUCUCUUAAUUAAAUAUUCUUCUUUUUUUCCUUUACUUUAAUUCAAAGUAAAUUGACUAUGAUAUAUAACUAUAUUUCUUUUCUUGGCGCUAUUUUUUUAAAAAAAAAAGAUAUUCAUUCCUUGCUGCGAACGAUCUCGAUCUCGUCACAGAUGAAUAACCGUGGAAAUAUUUAUAAAUGCGACACUCAUAAUUUAGUCGAUGACCGAACGUAUCGUGCUUUUACCGACCGGUAUGCGGCUCUCGGGCCAAUAUUUCACGGGAUAAUAAGGAACAAACAGCGUUUCCUUGUUCCGGGCGACGCGAGAGUGUUAUUAUACUAUGGCGGCGGGUCGAAGGUGGCGAUGGCGGAAAUUCGUUCGGCCAAAGGCCACACGGUCUCGACCAAUAAAGCGUAAAUGGAUUAGUCUCUAAGCCGCUGAUACGACUACGGAAAUCCAAAGUGGAACGGGGAGAAGAUUCCGUACAAUCUCGGCGAAUCCACUGUCAACGGACACUCUCAGAAGCCAUUACAUACAUCUUCCUUAUCCGACCGACUGAAAACAAAUUUCUUGCGUUUACGAUCGUCUCUUUCGCGAUUUCUCUUUAUUCUGAAUAUUUCUCCUUAAAGAUAAUUUCUCGAUAAGAUAUAAAAAUAAAAAUUUCUUUUCGUUAUCUCUUUUAAUCUUCUUUUCUUUUUUUACCAAGAAAAAACUUUACGUGGAUAAAUUUAUCUUAUUUCUUUAUUCUUGGUUUAAAUUUAUUUCAAGUUGUAUAUUAUAAAAGCUUAUUUUAUAGAUCGAAACAGAGAUAGUAACACGUUCUUAGAGCGAACGGAUUUUAUUUUGAGAAUGUAUAAGGAAUUAAAGGAGAUGAACGAAGAGUUUCUCUUUUCGAUAUUAAUUCGAUAUUUAAAUCUACUUUAACUCGUGGUAAAUAAAUUUUCCAAAAAUCACGCUAACUAAUUGUUUUUUUAAUUUCAUUAUUCUAAUAACUAUUGAGUUUGUGUACAAGUUCUAACCAAUUACGUAACGAGUAUUCCAUUU
Long non-coding RNA from Apis dorsata (giant honeybee), 1614 nucleotides. RefSeq lists it as uncharacterized. The record is from RefSeq and is a predicted model, not a curated record. NCBI's taxonomy places the organism in Eukaryota, Metazoa, Arthropoda, Insecta, Hymenoptera, Apidae. The transcript is spliced from 2 exons.